GAUCCUGGCUCAGGAUGAACGCUAGCUACAGGCUUAACACAUGCAAGUCGAGGGGGCAGCAUGGUCUUAGCUUGCUAAGGCCGAUGGCGACCGGCGCACGGGUGAGUAACACGUAUCCAACCUGCCGUCUACUCUUUGGACAGCCUUCUGAAAGGAAGAUUAAUACAAGAUGGCAUCAUGAGUUCACAUGUUCACAUGAUUAAGGGUAUUCCGGUAGACGAUGGGG
RNAcentral lists this ribosomal RNA (226 nucleotides) under uncultured bacterium. RNAcentral's name for it is "partial 16S ribosomal RNA". It matches the Rfam family "Bacterial small subunit ribosomal RNA", at positions 15 to 230 of the family's 1533-position model. The record is from RNAcentral.